UGGGGAAUCUUCCGCAAUGGACGAAAGUCUGACGGAGCAACGCCGCGUGAGUGAUGACGGCCUUCGGGUUGUAACGCUCUGUUCAUCGGGACGAAUGGUUCUUGUGCGAAUAGUGCGAGGAUUUGACGGUACCGGAAUAGAAAGCCACGGCUAACUACGUGCCAGCAGCCGCGGUAAUACGUAGGUGGCAAGCGUUGUCCGGAAAUAUUGGGCGUAAAGCGCGCGCAGGCGUAUUGGUCAGUCUGUCUUAAAAAUUCGGGGCUUAAACCCGUGAUGGGAUGGAAACUGCCAAUCUAGAGUAUAGGAGAGGAAAGUGGAAUUCCUAGUGUAGCGGUGAAAUGCGUAGAUAUUAGGAAGAACACCAGUGGCGAAGGCGACUUUCUGGACGAAAACUGACGCUGAGGCGCGAAAGCCAGGGGAGCGAACGGG
Molecule: ribosomal RNA, 429 nt
Filed under: bacterium
Lineage: Bacteria
Description: partial 16S ribosomal RNA
Rfam family: Bacterial small subunit ribosomal RNA
Source: RNAcentral